GACAGAGGUGCCGAGCGUUAGGCGGAAUCACUGGGCUUAAAGCGUGUGUAGGCGGACUUCUAAGUGCCUUGUGAAAUCCCACGGCUCAACCGUGGAACUGCUGGGCAUACUGGGAGUCUUGAGCCAGCUAGGGGCGACCGGAACAGACGGUGGAGCGGUGAAAUGCGUAGAUAUCGUCUGGAACGCCAAAGGUGAAAACAGGUCGCUGGGGCUGAGCUGACGCUGAGACACGAAAGCCAGGGGAGCGAACGGG
RNAcentral lists this ribosomal RNA (253 nucleotides) under uncultured bacterium. RNAcentral's name for it is "partial 16S ribosomal RNA". It matches the Rfam family "Bacterial small subunit ribosomal RNA", at positions 524 to 776 of the family's 1533-position model. The record is from RNAcentral.